GACGAACGCUGGCGGCGUGCUUAACACAUGCAAGUCGAACGGAAAGGCCCUGCUUGCAGGGUACUCGAGUGGCGAACGGGUGAGUAACACGUGGGUGAUCUGCCCCGCACUUCGGGAUAAGCCUGGGAAACUGGGUCUAAUACCGGAUAGGAGCUAUUUUUAUUGUGAUGGUUGGAAAGUUUUUUCGGUGUAGGAUGAGUUCGCGGCCUAUCAGCUUGUUGGUGGGGUAAUGGCCUACCAAGGCGGCGACGGGUAGCCGGCCUGAGAGGGUGGACGGCCACAUUGGGACUGAGAUACGGCCCAGACUCCUACGGGAGGCAGAAGUGGGGAAUCUUGAACAAUGGGCGCAAGCCUGAUGCAGCGACGCCGCGUGGGGGAUGACGGCCUUCGGGUUGUAAACGCAUUUCGCUAGGGACGAUGCUUUUUGUGACGGUACCUAGAUAAGAAGCACCGGCUAACUACGUG
RNAcentral lists this ribosomal RNA (465 nucleotides) under uncultured bacterium. RNAcentral's name for it is "partial 16S ribosomal RNA". It matches the Rfam family "Bacterial small subunit ribosomal RNA", at positions 28 to 507 of the family's 1533-position model. The record is from RNAcentral.